CCCCGGCUAACUACGUGCCAGCAGCCGCGGUAAUACGUAGGCGGCGAGCGUUGUUCGGAAUUACUGGGCGUAAAGGGUGUGUAGGCGGUGCUCUAAGUCCGGUGUGAAAUCUCCGGGCUCAACUGGGAGGGUGCGCCCGAAACUGGAGUGCUUGAGUGUGGGAGAGGAAAGUGGAAUUCCUGGUGUAGCGGUGAAAUGCGUAGAUAUCAGGAGGAACACCUGUGGUGAAGGCGGCUUUCUGGACCAUUACUGACGCUGAGACACGAAAGCGUGGGUAGCAAACAGGAUUAGAUACCCUGGUAGUCCACGCCCUAAACGAUGCAUACUUGGUGUGGGC
This 337-nucleotide ribosomal RNA is filed under the name uncultured Acidobacteriota bacterium. Its description in RNAcentral is "bacterial SSU rRNA". It matches the Rfam family "Bacterial small subunit ribosomal RNA", at positions 491 to 827 of the family's 1533-position model. Lineage: Bacteria; Pseudomonadati; Acidobacteriota. The record is from RNAcentral.